CUUCGAACACCGCAUCGAAAUCAGGUCACGUGACGUAUAAGAUGGCGCCAAUCACACGGAGAGUGUAUACUACAUACUUGAUGCUGGCCAUGCUGUGUGUACUAGCUACAUACCAGGGUGCAUCAGGAGGUGCCAACGAUGUCGAGGAAUUCACGUCUGCCUCCCCAUCAACGAACAGGAACAUAUUGGAAGC
Molecule: long non-coding RNA, 193 nt
Organism: Strongylocentrotus purpuratus (purple sea urchin)
Lineage: Eukaryota; Metazoa; Echinodermata; Echinoidea; Camarodonta; Strongylocentrotidae
Exons: 3
Source: RefSeq, a predicted model, not a curated record